RNAcentral lists this ribosomal RNA (384 nucleotides) under uncultured eukaryote. Its description in RNAcentral is "partial 18S ribosomal RNA". It matches the Rfam family "Eukaryotic small subunit ribosomal RNA", at positions 592 to 976 of the family's 1831-position model. The record is from RNAcentral.
CAAUAGCGUAUAUUAAAGUUGUUGCGGUUAGAAAGCUCGUAGUUGGAUUUCGGCGGACAGGGGGCGGUUCGAUAUUUGUCGCUACUGCCCCAUUUGUCCGUGUUUUUGGCGGAGGUUUCAGGGUGCUCUUCACCGAGUGUCCUGGGAUGCCGUCGGGUUUACUUUGAAAAAAUUAGAGUGCUCAAAGCAGGCUUUACACGCUUGAAUAUUCGUGCAUGGAAUAAUGGAAUAGGACGUCGUUUCUAUUUUGUUGGUUUUCGGAAAUCGACGUAAUGAUUAACAGGGACAGUCGGGGGCAUUAGUAUUCAGACGACAGAGGUGAAAUUCUUGGACCGUCUGAAGACUAACUACUGCGAAAGCAUUUGCCAAGAAUGUUUUCAUUAA